AUACGGAGGAUCCGAGCGUUAUCCGGAUUUAUUGGGUUUAAAGGGUGCGCAGGCGGCCAUUUAAGUCAGCGGUUAAAUCGUGGGGCUCAUCCCCAUUCUGCCGUUGAUACUGGGUGGCUUGAUUGCGGUCGAGGUUGGCGGAAUUCGUUGUGUAGCGGUGAAAUGCAUAGAUAUGACGAAGAACACCGAUUGCGUAGGCAGCUGACCAGACCGCAAAUGACGCUCAUGCACGAAAGUGCGGGGAUCGAACAGGAUUAGAUACCCUGGUAGUCCGCACAGUAAACGAUGAAUACUUGUUUUCGGCGAUAUAAUGUCGGAGGCAAAGCGAAAGCGAUAAGUAUUCCACCUGGGGAGUACGCCGGCAACGGUGAAACUCAAAGGAAUUGGCGGGG
RNAcentral lists this ribosomal RNA (392 nucleotides) under uncultured bacterium. Its description in RNAcentral is "partial 16S ribosomal RNA". It matches the Rfam family "Bacterial small subunit ribosomal RNA", at positions 523 to 918 of the family's 1533-position model. The record is from RNAcentral.